Molecule: ribosomal RNA, 406 nt
Filed under: uncultured bacterium
Lineage: Bacteria
Description: partial 16S ribosomal RNA
Rfam family: Bacterial small subunit ribosomal RNA
Source: RNAcentral
AUUGAACGCUGGCGGCAGGCCUAACACAUGCAAGUCGAACGAGUGGCGGACGGGUGAGUAAUGUCUGGGAAACUGCCCGAUGGAGGGGGAUAACUACUGGAAACGGUAGCUAAUACCGCAUACCAUCGGAUGUGCCCAGAUGGGAUUAGCUAGGAGUGGGGGUAACGGCUCACCUAGGCGACGAUCCCUAGCUGGGCUGAGAGGAUGACCGGCCACACUGGAACGGAGACACGGUCCAGACUCCUACGUGAGGCAGCAGUGUGGAAUAUGGCACAAUGGGCGAAAGCCUGAUGCAGCCAUGCCGCGUGUAUGAAGAAGGCCUUCGGGUUGUAAAGUACUUUCAGCGAGGAGGCGUUACUCGCAGAAGAAGCACCGGCUAACUACGUGCCAGCAGCCGCGGUAAUUC